RNAcentral lists this ribosomal RNA (253 nucleotides) under uncultured bacterium. RNAcentral describes it as "partial 16S ribosomal RNA". It matches the Rfam family "Bacterial small subunit ribosomal RNA", at positions 524 to 776 of the family's 1533-position model. The record is from RNAcentral.
UACGUAGGCAGCGAGCGUUGUUCGGAGUUACUGGGCGUAAAGCGUGCGUAGGCGGUGUCUUAAGUUUGUUGUGAAAUCUCCCGGCUUAACCGGGAGGGUGCGGCGAAUACUGAGAUGCUGGAGUGCGGGAGAGGUAAGCGGAAUUCCAGGUGUAGCGGUGAAAUGCGUAGAUAUCUGGAGGAACACCGGUGGCGAAGGCGGCAUCCUGGACCGGUAUUGACGCUGAGGCGCGAAAGCCAGGAGAGCAAACGGG